Molecule: ribosomal RNA, 843 nt
Filed under: uncultured Pseudoalteromonas sp.
Lineage: Bacteria; Pseudomonadati; Pseudomonadota; Gammaproteobacteria; Alteromonadales; Pseudoalteromonadaceae
Description: bacterial SSU rRNA
Rfam family: Bacterial small subunit ribosomal RNA
Source: RNAcentral
GAACGCUGGCGGCAGGCCUAACACAUGCAAGUCGAGCGGUAACAGAAAGUAGCUUGCUACUUUGCUGACGAGCGGCGGACGGGUGAGUAAUGCUUGGGAACAUGCCUUGAGGUGGGGGACAACAGUUGGAAACGACUGCUAAUACCGCAUAAUGUCUACGGACCAAAGGGGGCUUCGGCUCUCGCCUUUAGAUUGGCCCAAGUGGGAUUAGCUAGUUGGUGAGGUAAUGGCUCACCAAGGCGACGAUCCCUAGCUGGUUUGAGAGGAUGAUCAGCCACACUGGGACUGAGACACGGCCCAGACUCCUACGGGAGGCAGCAGUGGGGAAUAUUGCACAAUGGGCGCAAGCCUGAUGCAGCCAUGCCGCGUGUGUGAAGAAGGCCUUCGGGUUGUAAAGCACUUUCAGUCAGGAGGAAAGCUUAGUAGUUAAUACCCAUCAGCUGUGACGUUACUGACAGAAGAAGCACCGGCUAACUCCGUGCCAGCAGCCGCGGUAAUACGGAGGGUGCGAGCGUUAAUCGGAAUUACUGGGCGUAAAGCGUACGCAGGCGGUUUGUUAAGCGAGAUGUGAAAGCCCCGGGCUCAACCUGGGAACUGCAUUUCGAACUGGCAAACUAGAGUGUGAUAGAGGGUGGUAGAAUUUCAGGUGUAGCGGUGAAAUGCGUAGAGAUCUGAAGGAAUACCGAUGGCGAAGGCAGCCACCUGGGUCAACACUGACGCUCAUGUACGAAAGCGUGGGGAGCAAACGGGAUUAGAUACCCCGGUAGUCCACGCCGUAAACGAUGUCUACUAGAAGCUCGGAGCCUCGGUUCUGUUUUUCAAAGCUAACGCAUUAAGUAGACC